Molecule: unclassified non-coding RNA, 533 nt
Filed under: Hevea brasiliensis (rubber tree)
Lineage: Eukaryota; Viridiplantae; Streptophyta; Magnoliopsida; Malpighiales; Euphorbiaceae
Source: RNAcentral
UCAUAAUUUAAGGUAACUACAACAAUGAGGAAAGAACAAAAUAUAAUGUUUUCGUGGAAUUGAAGAAAGAAUGCGACCUUGAGCUAAGGUCAUUUUAGCAGCUACUAGUAGUAAUAAGGCAUUACUUCUAAACUCAAAUAAUACAAAAGGAUUGUAUAAAAUUAAAUUAUCCUCUACUAGAAUUGCAGAAUUUGCUUUAAAGUGGUCGUGUGUGCCGAUUAGCCACCUUGCCACAAAGACGAGCGCCUCUUGGAAUUGGAUAUUCGUCUCUCAAUGAGGUUGAGUCUGUGUAAACUCUCAUGUAUAGUUGUUGACCGAGGUACUGUCGUGCCCAGAAUUCAGUCCUCAGGUUCCACAUUCCUACAUUGUCCAAUGCAAUGUAUAUCGCGGUCCAUGACUUGGGAUAGACCUGAGUUGUGCAACGUGAAACUGCAUCACGAAGGUUGUAUCCGUUCCUACUAGCUUGAGUCCACUGGCCUCCAUCCAUCCCUACAACCCAAAAAGAGUAGCCAUCAAGAUGCCAGCUCUGGACG